UUUAGCAGAGAACUCGAGGACGCUCAGCUACUCAAGGGCACUCUUUCGUCCUUGUCCCGGGGGUUUCCUCUCCUCCAGCCGUUCUGUCCUCUGUCUCUAGUUUUCUCCAGUAGGAGGUGUAGGACGCAGUCAUAGUGUUUUAAUCCUCAGCUCUGGCUUUCUGCUUGGAGAACUGGAGAAUAAAGACACUGCAGAGAGGGGAAGAGCCUCCUGGCCUCUCCUGGCUCAUGGGUCCUUACUCAGGGUUGUACUUAGCGUACAAUAUGCGAGUACAGGGCUGCUCAGUGCCGGCCUAGUGCCUGGCCGGUGCCCUGUGAUGUUUUUAAUCAGGCAGCUAGAACUACUUUGGGGCGAGGGGAAUGGGAAAAGGACAGGGGGAGGUUCUACUUGAAAACCUGUUCAGAGGCUUUACAGGUUCCCACGCUGAGGACUUUCCCCGCCAGCCCACCAGUGACAUCUUCUCCGCGCCCCACCUCACCCCCUGCUUCCUUCACCUGCACCUCCAGCUGCAAGUUGCCCUUUUGGGACAUUUCCUUUUGUUUCUUUCCCAAGGUUUUCCUGUUGUUCAUUUAAUCAGAGUUACCUCCUGAAAGAAGCGAAGGGGGCAGCGAAGCACUCUUGUAACGUGUGAUUUGUCCUGGGGCCGUUGCUCCACAUGGGCGGCCCUGGCCACUUUCACUAACAGUAACAGGGACACGCUGCAUAACCGCUAAGGGUCAGCUACCACCCUGGGCGCUGAGACAAAUAAACAGAAUUCCUGGCCUGGAAAGACCUUAAAGGAUCUAGUUUUUGCACCUCCGCUUAAGGACAAGCUUGAAUAGCUUCAUUUGCUUUGAGAGAAAAGCAAAAGAAGCCAGUCAACCUCAUGAAUGAAUGGAAGAAAAAAGCAGUCAGAAAUGCAUAACGAAGAGUCAUUGAGUAAAGAUGGGCAGGGUUUGAAAAACAGAGGGAAAUUUCCCAAACACCGAGAUAAACAGAUACUGUUCGCUGAACAGCGUGUACGGAGUUGCCUGCCAACCAUUGUUAGUGUUGAAUCACCGAUUUUUAGUACCAAAAAUAACUUGGGAGACUGUCUGACCUAAUGCUCUCACCAUUUUAUGGAUCCAGAGAUAUUAAGUGAUUCUCUUAAGGUCGUACAACCUGCCUUCUGAUGCUGAAAACCACCGUGCCACACUGCCUCCAGGUACCGAUGAGGGUGUCAAGGGAUGAGGACCGUUUGGAGAGCUUGGCAACAGGGGAGGCGAGCCCUAGCACCUAUAACUGCUGAAGUUUUCUUCAAGGAAAACAGUUGCUUUGUUUGCAACCCAUACAUACCAGAUUGUACUAGAUCAUAGCACAGAACUAUCUCUAAUAUAUGGAAAUUACAAUUUUCAAGGAAAAGGCCUUCUCCGGGCAUGGUUAGCUCACAUGUGAGAGCGGGACCAUGAUGAAGUUGGAAGGCUCUUUCUGCUCCGAAAAGAAGGCAGGCCUGGCAAACUACAACUCGUGGCCCACUGGUGGAAAAAUCAUUCCAGGCAUGGAUCCACAUGAGGGUCAUUGGUAAGAGGUAGCAUCUAUAAAGGUGAAAAAAAAAACUCACUUAAUAUAAAAGAUGCAAGUGUUUGGGUGUGCGAAAGCCCCCAGCUAUAAUAAAUCAUCAUUGCAAACACUAUUUCUUGUGUCCCCAAGUUUCAACAGUGCCUGCGCUGAUGACAGGAACCUAGUGAUGGCAUCAAGACUUUCAUUUAUCCGCAAAGGUGUGAGGGGGACCUGGGCAGCCCCUGGAGCAAAUGCAAGAGGGGGAACCACCUGUGCCCCUCCAUGUGUGGGGUCCUGGAUGCCGCUGUUGGAGAAGAGAGGAAAAUAGCUGCCUGUAAUAUGGGCUGUUGAACAUUAUGGGCUACCUUGGAGUGCUGAGCAUAAAGGCACCGCUAAAGACUGAUGGAUAGGAUCGCUACUGGGGAGCGAUAAAUGAAGUGGGGGACUGCGCAAAGAGGGAGAAGAAGUACACAGAUGAUUUUCAUUUCCUAAUAGGCAUUCUGCCUGGAAACCUGUAUAAAGACCUGAAGUAUGUAUUGCUUGAAAGGCUGAGAAUGUUUAAAAUGUCAUCUUAAAUUAGUAAGUGUCUUUAAAUCUUCACUCUUUUGUCACGUUUUACUAAUGUUUAUUACACACCAUAAAUCUUAUUCAUCUCCACAUAAAUUGAGCCCCCUAGCCACAAGGGAGACAAGUACUUCUGCUGGCUGAUCUGCAAUUCUGGAGCAGGGAAUGACAUCAAAUAUUACGACUGGAAAAAAAAAAAAAAAAGGGAAGCAGCAGCUCUCCCAGAGCAAACUGGUUUGGGGAGAAGGAAUAACAGCCUUCUCCCUCCAGGAGUGGGAAAAAAUUGUAGUCGCUUUAAAAUUCUGUUUAGUGAUUUUAGGGGUUAGGUGAUGUUUCUAACGCAAGUUUAAAUAAGUUAUUUUAAAUAUGCCUGCAUUCAGGUUGAUUUCAGGAAGGACAAUAUAGUGAAUGAAAUAAGCUGAACAGGAGUAACAAUUUGUUAAGCUAGCACCCCCCCCCAAAAGGAGCAAAUUAAAAAGGUUCAGGGUUAUCUGUGGUGUGAAUUGAAUAUAUGUAAGAGUGUAUGAAAGAGCGGAGUUAAAAAAAAAAAGGCUUCUAUUUAGAAGACAUAGAGUGACUGUUCCCAGACUUCCGGGUUUCAGAGACCAGUAAAACCUUUUGUAAAUUUCAAGGACUGACAUGUGGUUGACAACUUUUUAUUUCUCCAAUUAAGGAUACUUUAAAAUGUUAUUAAGUAUUACUUUGCAUACUCUAAGUAGCAGAGAUCCUCCUACUCAGAGUUUCAAAAACUAAGUAAGUUUAGGGAAAACUCAUUUCUUGUCCUUUAUUUUCUCAUGAAUGAGCAAUGGAAUGCAAACAACUGUAUUGGAAUUGGGGUGGGUUCCAGGGAGAUCUGUUUCUAAUUCCAGUGAGAUCUCCAGUAUUUUAGGGAGCUACUGCCCACCCCCGCACCUUGGUCUCAGGAGCUCUGCUCCAAAAGGCUGCAGUUUGCUACUGCUGUGUUCCCCAAAGGAAUGGGCAGCUUGAGUACCUCGGUGGUGGGUACAGUGACCUGUCAGCUUUUGUUCCAUCUGGGAAGUCAGAGAUGGCCUGGUGGAGAGAAUGGCCGUCCGAAGAACUCUGGACUGAGCUACACCCUCCCUGACUGCCUGGAAAGUCCUUCUCCAGCUGGGAAAUUUUAGUGCCAGAGAUGCUGCUCUCCUAAGUCAAUCCUGACCAGCCCCCGUCCCCCUGGGUAGAAUAGAACAAUGCUCUGCAAACUGGGCUGAUCAGCACAACAAGGUAGAAAGCACUUUAAAAAUGCAACUUUGGGUCUCCAGGUCUGGAAAUUCCAAUUCAGUGGCCCUGGGGUGUGCUCUGGAAGCUGUGCUUUUUAAAAAUAAGACUCUCUGGUUUUGAAGCCUGGGUUGCAGACCACAGGCGGAGUGCUUACUCUCCCGGGCUCCCUCCUACCCCCGGACAGACUUGGUAUCAUAUUCCUUAUAACACAGUGCAAAUGACAAGAUUGCUUUUUUUCUCUGGUAACUGUCCCUCCCGACCCCUACACCCACCCCGGCAUCAACACUAGCACACACACACACACACACACACACACACACACACAUGCACGCACGUACACACACUCCCCAAAUUAUGAAAACUUAAAGCAGGGAAUGACUGACGUUAGCUUCCACAGCAUCCAGUGUAAUGCCUGAUGCAGAGCAGGGGCUGGCUAAAUACUUACGUGAUGUCUGUCAGUAUAUAAGUCUUUCCAACUCUAAAACUCGGCAUUUCUCUCUUCUCCAUUGAUAAGCAAUAAGAUAAGGCAAUAGAAAGUUUAGACUCACGAAGAAUGGUAAGCAGGGAGCUAGGAGGCUGAUAUACUGGAAAGAUCUGGGUGUGUGCACAGGACGUACCACUGCAGCUAUGGGACCCUGAGCCACGUGUUUCACUCCUUAGUCCUCAGGAUGCUCAGCUGUCAGACAGGCCAAGUGCUUUCUGUGACCUCUUUUCAGCCCGGAAAUUCAGUGACGAAUAGAUGAACCUAAUUUUCUUUUGAAAAUUAGAAACUGGCUUACAUGUGUCUUAAUACUUCUGAGUACUAAAGAUACUUCUUAAGUAUCUUAAGUAUUAAAAUGCUUCUUAAUACUGAAAUUAUACAAUGUCAAGGAAAGUGCAAUUUUCCUGAAGGGCUAGCCCCCUUAACUUAACUCUUUUUAUGAUUAUGGCUUUAAAAUAAAAAGGUUUUUUCUUCUCUAUUCUACCAGCACAA
Vicugna pacos (alpaca) is the source of this 4294-nucleotide non-coding RNA. The record is from RefSeq and is a predicted model, not a curated record. Lineage: Eukaryota; Metazoa; Chordata; Mammalia; Artiodactyla; Camelidae.